AGUGAACGCUGGCGGUAGGCCUAACACAUGCAAGUCGAACGGCAGCACAGUAAGAGCUUGCUCUUACGGGUGGCGAGUGGCGGACGGGUGAGGAAUACAUCGGAAUCUACUUUUUCGUGGGGGAUAACGUAGGGAAACUUACGCUAAUACCGCAUACGACCUACGGGUGAAAGCAGGGGAUCUUCGGACCUUGCGCGAUUGAAUGAGCCGAUGUCGGAUUAGCUAGUUGGCGGGGUAAAGGCCCACCAAGGCGACGAUCCGUAGCUGGUCUGAGAGGAUGAUCAGCCACAAUGGAACUUGAGCAAGGGCCAAGCUCCUACGGGAGGGAGCAGUGGGGAAUAUUGGGCAAAGGGGGGAAACCUGGUACAACCAUACCGCGUGGGUGAAAGAGGCCUUCCGGUUGGAAAGCCCUUUUUUUGGGAAAAAAAAGCAGCAGGUUAAUACCCCGCUGUUCUGACGGUAACCAAAAAAUAAGCACCGGCUAACUUCGUG
This 492-nucleotide ribosomal RNA is filed under the name uncultured bacterium. RNAcentral describes it as "partial 16S ribosomal RNA". It matches the Rfam family "Bacterial small subunit ribosomal RNA", at positions 29 to 507 of the family's 1533-position model. The record is from RNAcentral.